Molecule: ribosomal RNA, 442 nt
Filed under: uncultured bacterium
Lineage: Bacteria
Description: partial 16S ribosomal RNA
Rfam family: Bacterial small subunit ribosomal RNA
Source: RNAcentral
CCUACGGGAGGCUGCAGUAGGGAAUCUUUCACAAUGGGCGAAAGCCUGAUGGAGCAACGCCGCGUGCAGGAUGAAGGCCUUCGGGUUGUAAACUGCUUUUAUAAGCGAGAAAUAUGAUGGUAACUUAUGAAUAAGGAUCGGCUAACUACGUGCCAGCAGCCGCGGUCAUACGUAGGAUCCGAGCAUGAUACGGAGUGACUGGGUGUAAAGAGUUGCGUAGGUGGCAUAAUAAGUAGCUAGUGAAAUCUGGUGGCUUAACCAUUCAGACUAUUAGCUAAACUGUUAAGCUCGAGACCGUUAGGGGAAACUGGAAUUUCUAGUGUAGGAGUGAAAUCCGUAGAUAUUUGGAGGAACACCAGUAGCGUAGGCAGGUUGCUGGGACGGUUCUGACACUAAGGCACGAAAGCGUAGGGAGCAAACGGGAUUAGAUACCCCUGUAGUC